AACGCGAAGAACCUUACCUGGACUCGAAAUUUUGUCGACCGUCUCAGAGAUGAGGCUUUCCCGCAAGGGACGGCAGAAUAGGUGCUGCAUGGCUGUCGUCAGCUCGUGUCGUGAGAUGUUGGGUUAAGUCCCGCAACGAGCGCAACCCUCGCCUUCAGUUGCCAUCACGUUUGGGUGGGCACUCUGAAGGAACUGCCGGUGACAAGCCGGAGGAAGGUGGGGAUGACGUCAAGUCCUCAUGGCCCUUAUGUCCUGGGCUACACACGUGCUACAAUGGCGGUGACAGCGGGAAGCCAGGUCGCGAGGCCGAGCUGAUCCCGAAAAGCCGUCUCAGUUCGGAUUGCACUCUGCAACUCGGGUGCAUGAAGGUGGAAUCGCUAGUAAUCGCGGAACAGCAUGCCGCGGUGAAUACGUUCCCGGGCCUUGUACACACCGGAGUA
Molecule: ribosomal RNA, 440 nt
Filed under: uncultured bacterium
Lineage: Bacteria
Description: bacterial SSU rRNA
Rfam family: Bacterial small subunit ribosomal RNA
Source: RNAcentral